This 921-nucleotide ribosomal RNA is filed under the name Triticum aestivum (bread wheat). RNAcentral describes it as "partial small subunit ribosomal RNA". Lineage: Eukaryota; Viridiplantae; Streptophyta; Magnoliopsida; Poales; Poaceae. The record is from RNAcentral.
AUGGCUGGGAGGAAAAUCAUCAUUAACAAAGGAGAUUUGGCUAGGGUUUGGCACGACCCAUGGAUAGAUAACUGCCCAUUACGAGAGUGUUUCCCUGUCUUAUAUGACAUUUGUCAAAAUCAAGAUUGCACCAUUACUUCUUUUGUAGCCAACAACUACGAUCUAGUUUUUAGACGCAGGUUGUUUGGUGCAUUGGAGGAGCAAUGGGACUGGGUGGUGUGCGAGGCUAAAAAAAAGUCUUUGAAUGAGAAUUCUGAUAUUGUCUCCUGGUCCUUGAAUAGUGGGGGGAAAUUCACCACUAAAUUUGUAUAUGAGUGGCUGGAGAGAAACUUAUCUGGACCUAACUAUAAAAAGGUGUGGAAAGCUGCAAUUCCCUUGAAAAUAAAUUUUUUCCUGUGGCAGCUAUUCCAAAAUGUUGUGCUUACACGCGAUAACAUGCGACAUAGGAAUUGGCCGGGAAAUCCUAUGUGCUCGUUUUGCACGGAGGUGGAAACUUCUAAUCAUCUAUUCUUCACUUGUUCACUCGCCCGUACGGUCUGGGGCGUGCUGGGGCUGACUGCGGGGGUCUCUUGUGCCCCCAGGUCUAUUUGGCAGUGCUUUGCUUGGCUGUAUAAGUUUUUCUCAAGGGGGAAGAAAUUUUAUAUGAUGAUUAUUGCAGCCGUGUGUUGGGCGAUUUGGUGCCUCCGCAGCAAAACUACUUUUGACAAGUAUAAUGCUCGUACUCCUUUGGAGGCUAUCUUCAUUGCCUGUUCUUUUAUGUUAUACUGGGCAGGGCUGCUUAAGGAGGAAGACCAGACGAGAUUCCAAGUGGGGGUGAAGAGGCUGGCUAAUGUGGCGGCUGCCCUGGCGGACAGAUCAUAUGCUCGCGGCAGGCUGCUCUUGGGAGGUGGGGAUGGUAUUCAGAUUGGGGAGCUGUCUUAA